AGUGAACGCUGGCGGUAGGCCUAACACAUGCAAGUCGAACGGCAGCACAGUAAGAGCUUGCUCUUACGGGUGGCGAGUGGCGGACGGGUGAGGAAUACAUCGGAAUCUACUUUUUCGUGGGGGAUAACGUAGGGAAACUUACGCUAAUACCGCAUACGACCUACGGGUGAAAGCAGGGGAUCUUCGGACCUUGCGCGAUUGAAUGAGCUGAUGUCGGAUUAGCUAGUUGGCGGGGUAAAGGCCCACCAAGGCGACGAUCCGUAGCUGGUCUGAGAGGAUGAUCAGCCACACUGGAACUGAGACACGGUCCAGACUCCUACGGGAGGCAGCAGUGGGGAAUAUUGGACAAUGGGCGCAAGCCUGAUCCAGCCAUACCGCGUGGGUGAAGAAGGCCUUCGGGUUGUAAAACCCUUUUGUUAGGGAAGAAAAGCAGCAGGUUAAUACCCCGCUGUUCUGACGGUACCCAAAGAAUAAGCACCGGCUAACUUCGUG
This 492-nucleotide ribosomal RNA is filed under the name uncultured bacterium. Its description in RNAcentral is "partial 16S ribosomal RNA". It matches the Rfam family "Bacterial small subunit ribosomal RNA", at positions 29 to 507 of the family's 1533-position model. The record is from RNAcentral.